AGGUACAUGAUCACAAGGUACAUGAUCACUAGGUACAUGAUCACAAGGUACAUGAUCACAAGGUACACGAUCACAAGGUACAUGAUCACAAGGUACAUGAUCACAAGGUAUAUGAUCACAAGGUACAUGAUCACAAGGUACAUGAUCACAAGGUACAUGAUCACAAGGUACAUGAUCAAUAGGUACAUGAUCACAAGGUACAUGAUCACAAGGUAUAUGAUCACUAGGUACAUGAUCACUAGGUAUAUGAUCACUAGGUACAUGAUCACUAGGUAUAUGAUCACUAGGUACAUGAUCACUAGGUACAUGAUCACUAGGUAUAUGAUCACUAGGUACAUGAUCACUAGGUAUACGAUCACUAGGUACAUGAUCACUAGGUACAUGAUCACUAGGUAUAUGAUCACUAGGUACAUGAUCACUAGGUACAUGAUCACAAGGUACAUAAUCACUAGGUAUAUGAUCACUAGGUACAUGAUCACAAGGUACAUGAUCACUAGGUAUAUGAUCACUAGGUACAUGAUCACAAGGUACAUGAUCACAAGGUACAUGAUCACAAGGCACAUGAUCACAAGGUCAUGAUCACAAGGUACAUGAUCACAAGGUCAUGACCACAAGGUACAUGAUCACUAGGUACAUGAUCACAAGGUACAUGAUCACAAGGUACAUGAUCACAAGGUACACGAUCACAAGGUACAUGAUCACAAGUUACACGAUCACAAGGUACAUGGUCACAAGGUACAUGAUCACAAGGUACAUGAUCACAAGGUACAUGAUCACAAGGUACAUGAUCAUAAGGUACAUGAUCACUAGGUACAUGAUCACAAGGUACAUGAACACAAGGUACAUGAUCACAAGGUCAUGAUCACAAGGUACAUGAUCACAAGGUACAUGAUCAUAAGGUACAUGAUCACAAGGUACAUGAUCAUAAGGUACAUGAACACAAGGUACAUGAUCACAAGGUACAUGAUCACAAGGUACAUGAUCAUAAGGUACAUGAUCACAAGGUACAUGAUCACAAGGUACAUGAUCACAAGGUACAUGAUCACAAGGUACAUGAUCACUAGGUACAUGAUCACAAGGUACAUGAUCACAAGGUACAUGAUCACAAGGUACAUGAUCACAAGGUACAUGAUCACAAGGUACAUGAUCACAAGGUACAUGAUCACAAGGUACAUGAUCACAAGGUACAUGAUCAUAAGGUACAUAAAGCAGAGAGGAAUAGACAGGCUGGACUGAGACAGACUGUUGUUCAGAAGAUGAAAAACAUAAAAUUCAGACACAGCUGCAAACUAAAAACAUACAUAAUUAUGUUAGGAAAUAUUUCUUUAACACCAGAAUUGACAGGAAGUGGAAUGAGCUGGACAGCAAAGUGGUGGAUGUAAACCUGGCAGGUCUAGGAGCCGAGACUCAACCCCUGCAACCACAAUUAGGUGAGUACACACACACACACACACACACACACCACACACCACACACACACACACACACACACACACACACACACACACACACACACACAGUGGUCGGGAAAUGUUAAACAGCUGUUCCCAAUAUUCGUUCAGCCAAAUAUACAGCAGUGGUAUUGUAUUCUGAAAACAGAGAGAAUGGUUCAGGUCUCCCGUAGCUAGAUCGCUAGCGCACUUGGCCCACACACUGAGGUCCAGAGUUCGAAUUCCUGGUAGGUCUGUAAAAACAUUAGGACGUGUUUCCUUAAGACACCUGCUGUUCAUGUUCACCCAUCAGUAAAAUAGGUACCUGGGUGUUAGUGGACUGGUGUGGGCCGCAUCCUGGGACAAAACUAACCUAAUUUGUGGGAAAUGCUCCACAUAACAAGCAGUUUUCUAUAUAGAAGUAUGUCACUGAUGUCAGCUAUGGUCUGUAUACCUUGCACAUGUACUGGUAGAAAUAAAGAUUAUUAUUAUUAAGCGCUAAGAAGAAUUAAAAACUGAUAAUCUCCACAAUAGAAGAAAACUUUAGGUCCCGGGUUUUACACUAUACCAAGAAAUAUGAACACCAUAGUGUAUUAUAAUGUCUCCAGUGAGAAGCACAAUAAAUCUAGACAGAAAGAUGUCAACAUACUCAACUAUUUUUGACAGUAAUUUGAUAUCAACGGCAGCAUUUGUGAAAAAAAAAGUCAGGGUUUAUUUCACAGGUUCAGUAUUGUGUAAGUGUGCACUAUUUAUUAGUUAUUAUAAAUCUUUAGAUGUUAAAGUACUGAUUUAAUUUUGUAACUAAUAGAACAAUAAUAAAUUGUCAGUGUUCAAAAAAAAUAUAUGGUAAAUCUUUA
This is a non-coding RNA of Cherax quadricarinatus, 2287 nucleotides long. The record is from RefSeq and is a predicted model, not a curated record. NCBI's taxonomy places the organism in Eukaryota, Metazoa, Arthropoda, Malacostraca, Decapoda, Parastacidae.